Non-coding RNA from Cinara cedri, 217 nucleotides. NCBI's taxonomy places the organism in Eukaryota, Metazoa, Arthropoda, Insecta, Hemiptera, Aphididae. The record is from the annotation of a GenBank genome assembly.
CGUCGUUUGUGCAUUACCAGUCCGCGGAGUUUUUGCGUUCGCCAUGAUGGCCGUCGCCAUAAACCCGACACGCCAUCGCGAUAAACGUGCCGUUGAAUCUCGGAACCUUUGCUCAGCCCAGCCCAGCCCAGCCCUGUCGCGCCCUGCCGCAAAACGGGCAUUCGUCAGACGCGACGCGAAACCGCGUGUCCGUUUACUCCGUGCGCGAACGCCGCAC